This 422-nucleotide ribosomal RNA is filed under the name uncultured bacterium. RNAcentral describes it as "partial 16S ribosomal RNA". It matches the Rfam family "Bacterial small subunit ribosomal RNA", at positions 361 to 775 of the family's 1533-position model. The record is from RNAcentral.
AUUUUUGUCAAUUGGGGAAACCCUGAUUCAGCCAUCCCGCGUGUAUGAUGGAGGCCUUCGGGUUGUAAAGUACUUUUGGCAGAGAAGAAAAGGUAUCUCCUAAUACGAGAUACUGCUGACGGUAUCUGCAGAAUAAGCACCGGCGAACUACGUGCCAGAAGCCGCGGUAAUAAGGAGGGAGCAAGCGUUAAUCGGCAUUACUGGGCGUAAAGCGUGUGUAGGAGGUUCGGAAAGAAAGAUGUGAAAGCCCAGGGCUCAAUCUUGGAACUGCAUUUUUAACUGCCGAGCUAGAGUAUGUCAGAGGGGGGUAGAGUUCCACGUGUAGCAGUGAAAUGCGUAGAUAUGUGGAGGAAUACCGAUGGCGAAGGCAGCCCCCUGGGAUAAUACUGACGCUCAGACACGAAAGCGUGGGGAGCAAACAG